GGGGAGUUCUCAUCUCUUAAUGUGCCAGGCUUGAUCUUUUGGGUUUUUGCCAUCUGCUUCUUCGGUGUUUCCUCUCUGGGAAUCUUUGCUACAUGCUGUGAGUCAAUCAUCGGCCUCAAACUAGUAUGUACGACCCCGACAUCAAACAAGAUAAAGAGAUGAUGAGGCUGUUCUUAAUUUUAUAAUUAUUCGAACAAUUACUGUGGAUGCUCUUUGUAUUGUUUUGUGUACAGUUUGCAAGCUUCAUGGGGAUUGGAAUGAUCAUCAUGUUGUACUGUGGCAUCACUGUAGCGAGAAGAAGACAUGAGAUAGAGACUGCCUUCCGGGAUGAACUACAAAGGGCCAACCUAAGAGAAGAAGUCCUUAGAAGCAUGGUUGAGGGGAUACAGUCAAAUUUUCAUUGCUGUGGAUUAACGAGUCCUGGAGACUGGGUUUAUGAAAUCCCUGACUCCUGCAAAUGCAGUAAUGGAAGAUAUGGCGGUUCUGGGGAUUUUGGCUCACCCAGAUGCCAAUCCAAGCCUCAGGGAAUCAGAGGCCCAGAUGAAAUCUAUGAACAGCCCUGCAUCAUUGAACUUUUGAACCUUGGCUUUAACAUCCUGUUUGGCUUCUUCUUUGGAUUUGCUAUUAUAGCCCUGCUGGGCCUGCUCAUUGCCAUCUGCAUGAUUAAUCAGAUCAAAAGUGACAACAGUAGAGAAUCCAUGUACUUGAGGAAGUACUAA
This 719-nucleotide long non-coding RNA is filed under the name Oreochromis niloticus (Nile tilapia). RNAcentral describes it as "lncRNA (ENSONIG00000035605.1)". Lineage: Eukaryota; Metazoa; Chordata; Actinopteri; Cichliformes; Cichlidae. The record is from RNAcentral.